This 696-nucleotide ribosomal RNA is filed under the name uncultured bacterium. RNAcentral's name for it is "bacterial SSU rRNA". It matches the Rfam family "Bacterial small subunit ribosomal RNA", at positions 32 to 715 of the family's 1533-position model. The record is from RNAcentral.
AACGCUAGCUACAGGCUUAACACAUGCAAGUCGAGGGGAAACGAUUUUGGAAGCUUGCUUCCGAUAGGCGUCGACCGGCGCACGGGUGAGUAACGCGUAUCCAACCUGCCCAUCACUUGGGGAUAMCCUUGCGAAAGWAAGACUAAUACCCAAUGACGUCUCUAGAAGACAUCUGAAAGAGAUUAAAGAUUUAUCGGUGAUGGAUGGGGAUGCGUCUGAUUAGCUUGUUGGCGGGGUAACGGCCCACCAAGGCGACGAUCAGUAGGGGUUCUGAGAGGAAGGUCCCCCACAUUGGAACUGAGACACGGUCCAAACUCCUACGGGAGGCAGCAGUGAGGAAUAUUGGUCAAUGGACGAGAGUCUGAACCAGCCAAGUAGCGUGCAGGAAGACGGCCCUAUGGGUUGUAAACUGCUUUUAUAAGGGAAUAAAGUGAGUCUCGUGAGACUUUUUGCAUGUACCUUAUGAAUAAGGACCGGCUAAUUCCGUGCCAGCAGCCGCGGUAAUACGGAAGGUCCGGGCGUUAUCCGGAUUUAUUGGGUUUAAAGGGAGCGUAGGCCGGAGAUUAAGCGUGUUGUGAAAUGUAGACGCUCAACGUCUGCACUGCAGCGCGAACUGGUUUUCUUGAGUACGCACAAAGUGGGCGGAAUUCGUGGUGUAGCGGUGAAAUGCUUAGAUAUCACGAAGAACUCCGAUUG